This is a non-coding RNA of Xiphophorus hellerii (green swordtail), 2284 nucleotides long. The record is from the annotation of a RefSeq genome assembly. Lineage: Eukaryota; Metazoa; Chordata; Actinopteri; Cyprinodontiformes; Poeciliidae.
GCCUGAUGAUGUUCAUGUGAGUGAAAGCAGCAGCAGAGGAGAGAUGAGGAUAAUUUGUUCCACAUGCAGAUCAGAGAUGAGGCUGGGAGUGAUUCCGCUACCCUCCCCCUCUCUGGUGCAGUCUAAUUCCUGCCACCUGUGUCCCAUUAUCUCUGCUUCCUGUUUGUUCCUGAGCUUCCCCCCAGCCCGUCUUCCCCUUCCUCUGAUUGUGGAGAAAUGAACCCGCUGAGCUCCGGUAGAGGCUGCUGGGCUGAUUUCAGACUGUGGAGGUUUACAGAUGAAGUGGGACGUCAGAGGCCCGGAUUGGAUCUGAACAGAACCAGAGAAACAUCCAGAUCUAAUGGCUCCUGAGAACCUGACAGGAACUGAAGCUGUAACCACUGAUUCUCCUCCAUACUUCCUCUGAUCUGUUAAAUUGUUCUUUAUUGAACAUGAAUACCAUGAACAACACAGAACCAGAACUUCAGCUGAUUGGUAGACCUUUCAAACAUAAGACGGGCCCCAGCCUGGCUCCCAGCAGCAUGUUGGUCUGCAGCGCAUCUGCUGGCCUUUAACUAGACCACUUCUUGAUGCAAAUGGUGGCACCUCUUUUUUUUUAGGAUUGUCUGAUUAAAAUGGACUUUCAGUUUUUAUUUUUAAAGCAUGUUGGAAACCAUGUUUGGAGUAGAAGAGGGAAAACUCAGCAGUGGGAAUAAAAUUCUCUCAAUAAACCGGAACAUGUUGCUGGAACAGAACUGGUCUGCUUUAAAUCUGUCAAAAAGAUUCCAGUUUGUUUUCUUCUUCACAUUCAAGGUUACUUAUGGAGUCCCACAGGGUUGUGGCCCGGUCCAGUUCUCUUCAGAUGGGCGGAGUCAACCUUCCAGAGAAGUCAGCUUCCUGUCAGACUGGGUGGAGCUGCAGUGACUCGGAGGCGAUCUCCGUCCCACUGAGUGCAGCAGCAGAAUCUCCUCCUACAGACUGCAGAGCUGCUGGACUCUAGCUGUGAACAUCAGGACCAACAUUUCACCCGUGGAAAGAUGGAAAACCUGGCUGUGAUCUACUUCUUCUCGGCUCUUGUAGGUCAGAGCUUGGAAGCUGAUAUUACUGCCAUCAGAUCUGAAAUGUUUCCAUCAGAGGGAGACAGAGUCACUCUGUCCUGUAACUAUUCAGUUAAAGCCGACAACCUUCAGUGGUAUCGACAAGAUCCUGGAUCAGCUCCUCGCUUCCUUCUCCUGAUCACUGAUACUAAAGAUCCAACUGUGGUGGAAGCAGAACCUCCAAACCCUCGACUGACUGCAGGACUGAACAAGGAGAGAAACCGAGUGGAUCUGCUGAUCUCCUCUGCUGCAGUGACAGACUCUGCUGUGUACUACUGCGCUCUGCAGCCCACAGUGACAGGAAACACCAGAACCCUGUACAAAAACCUGCAGUUCUCCACAGCAGCCACUAGAGGGCCUCACUCCCUGUUAAACCACUAAAACCUGCAGUUCUCCACAGCAGCCACUAGAGGGCCUCUCUCCCUGUUAAACCACUAAAACCUGCAGUACUCCCCAGCAGCCACUAGAGGGCCUCACUCCCUGUUAAUCCACUGGUUGUUGAGUCUUUGGACUGAAGACAAAGACAACAGAGACAUGAAGCAGUAAAGAUCAGAGACAGAGCUGCUGAGGAAGCAGAAAACUCUCUGAUUGGUUGAGUUGAAGUGGCCCCGCCCACUGACCUUCAGCUCAUCCAAUGACAUCAUUUCUUCCUCCUUCUGUUGCAACAUUGUUGAUCUGCUGUGUUCUCAGUUUAACUUUGGGACAGCUCCUGCGUCUCCUGUCCUUUAGGAAGGUUAACAGAGAACAGACGACUGAUUACAGAACCACUGCAACUGUCACAUGCCAAUGUGCCGCUGGGCAAGGCAUUUAACCCCAGGUAGACUGAGAUCUGAGUUGCAUGUGAAUGUGUUUCACAUGGUGCAACUCCAGGUCCAGUGGAAGACGAACACAUCGGCAUUUCUUUGCUCUCCUGCAGACGACGGUGGACACAGAAGAUAUCGUCUGAUUUUUAAGUGAAUCUCUUGGUGGAAACGAGUUCACUGCUGAAACGGUCCGAAAGGAUCUUUAAUGAGGUCUGAUUAUUUCGACAUACUGAGUGUCAUCAGGACACGGUCUAAAGUCUGAAGACAGAAGUGGGCAGGUCUGUGGAUUCUGUGAGUAAAACCAACUGAGUGUAAGAUAAUAUUGAUGUGACAGAAUAAACAUGAUGUGACAUGUUAUCACCCUCAGUGUCAGAAUAAACAUUAAAAUGCCCCACUAUAAUAAUC